GUUAUAACCGGCGAUUUCCGAAUGGGGAAACCCAGUGUGAUUCGUCACACUAUCAUUAACUGAAUCCAUAGGUUAAUGAGGCGAACCGGGGGAACUGAAACAUCUAAGUACCCCGAGGAAAAGAAAUCAACCGAGAUUCCCCCAGUAGCGGCGAGCGAACGGGGAGGAGCCCAGAGCCUGAAUCAGUGUGUGUGUUAGUGGAAGCGUCUGGAAAGGCGCGCGAUACAGGGUGACAGCCCCGUACACAAAAAUGCACAUGCUGUGAGCUCGAUGAGUAGGGCGGGACACGUGGUAUCCUGUCUGAAUAUGGGGGGACCAUCCUCCAAGGCUAAAUACUCCUGACUGACCGAUAGUGAACCAGUACCGUGAGGGAAAGGCGAAAAGAACCCCGGCGAGGGGAGUGAAAAAGAACCUGAAACCGUGUACGUACAAGCAGUGGGAGCACAGAGCAAUCUGUGUGACUGCGUACCUUUUGUAUAAUGGGUCAGCGACUUAUAUUCUGUAGCAAGGUUAACCGAAUAGGGGAGCCGAAGGGAAACCGAGUCUUAACUGGGCGUUAAGUUGCAGGGUAUAGACCCGAAACCCGGUGAUCUAGCCAUGGGCAGGUUGAAGGUUGGGUAACACUAACUGGAGGACCGAACCGACUAAUGUUGAAAAAUUAGCGGAUGACUUGUGGCUGGGGGUGAAAGGCCAAUCAAACCGGGAGAUAGCUGGUUCUCCCCGAAAGCUAUUUAGGUAGCGCCUCGUGAAUUCAUCUCCGGGGGUAGAGCACUGUUUCGGCAAGGGGGUCAUCCCGACUUACCAACCCGAUGCAAACUGCGAAUACCGGAGAAUGUUAUCACGGGAGACACACGGCGGGUGCUAACGUCCGUCGUGAAGAGGGAAACAACCCAGACCGCCAGCUAAGGUCCCAAAGUCAUGGUUAAGUGGGAAACGAUGUGGGAAGGCCCAGACAGCCAGGAUGUUGGCUUAGAAGCAGCCAUCAUUUAAAGAAAGCGUAAUAGCUCACUGGUCGAGUCGGCCUGCGCGGAAGAUGUAACGGGGCUAAACCAUGCACCGAAGCUGCGGCAGCGACACUAUGUGUUGUUGGGUAGGGGAGCGUUCUGUAAGCCUGUGAAGGUGUGCUGUGAGGCAUGCUGGAGGUAUCAGAAGUGCGAAUGCUGACAUAAGUAACGAUAAAGCGGGUGAAAAGCCCGCUCGCCGGAAGACCAAGGGUUCCUGUCCAACGUUAAUCGGGGCAGGGUGAGUCGACCCCUAAGGCGAGGCCGAAAGGCGUAGUCGAUGGGAAACAGGUUAAUAUUCCUGUACUUGGUGUUACUGCGAAGGGGGGACGGAGAAGGCUAUGUUGGCCGGGCGACGGUUGUCCCGGUUUAAGCGUGUAGGCUGGUUUUCCAGGCAAAUCCGGAAAAUCAAGGCUGAGGCGUGAUGACGAGGCACUACGGUGCUGAAGCAACAAAUGCCCUGCUUCCAGGAAAAGCCUCUAAGCAUCAGGUAACAUCAAAUCGUACCCCAAACCGACACAGGUGGUCAGGUAGAGAAUACCAAGGCGCUUGAGAGAACUCGGGUGAAGGAACUAGGCAAAAUGGUGCCGUAACUUCGGGAGAAGGCACGCUGAUAUGUAGGUGAAGCGACUUGCUCGUGGAGCUGAAAUCAGUCGAAGAUACCAGCUGGCUGCAACUGUUUAUUAAAAACACAGCACUGUGCAAACACGAAAGUGGACGUAUACGGUGUGACGCCUGCCCGGUGCCGGAAGGUUAAUUGAUGGGGUCAGCGCAAGCGAAGCUCUUGAUCGAAGCCCCGGUAAACGGCGGCCGUAACUAUAACGGUCCUAAGGUAGCGAAAUUCCUUGUCGGGUAAGUUCCGACCUGCACGAAUGGCGUAAUGAUGGCCAGGCUGUCUCCACCCGAGACUCAGUGAAAUUGAACUCGCUGUGAAGAUGCAGUGUACCCGCGGCAAGACGGAAAGACCCCGUGAACCUUUACUAUAGCUUGACACUGAACAUUGAGCCUUGAUGUGUAGGAUAGGUGGGAGGCUUUGAAGUGUGGACGCCAGUCUGCAUGGAGCCGACCUUGAAAUACCACCCUUUAAUGUUUGAUGUUCUAACGUUGACCCGUAAUCCGGGUUGCGGACAGUGUCUGGUGGGUAGUUUGACUGGGGCGGUCUCCUCCUAAAGAGUAACGGAGGAGCACGAAGGUUGGCUAAUCCUGGUCGGACAUCAGGAGGUUAGUGCAAUGGCAUAAGCCAGCUUGACUGCGAGCGUGACGGCGCGAGCAGGUGCGAAAGCAGGUCAUAGUGAUCCGGUGGUUCUGAAUGGAAGGGCCAUCGCUCAACGGAUAAAAGGUACUCCGGGGAUAACAGGCUGAUACCGCCCAAGAGUUCAUAUCGACGGCGGUGUUUGGCACCUCGAUGUCGGCUCAUCACAUCCUGGGGCUGAAGUAGGUCCCAAGGGUAUGGCUGUUCGCCAUUUAAAGUGGUACGCGAGCUGGGUUUAGAACGUCGUGAGACAGUUCGGUCCCUAUCUGCCGUGGGCGCUGGAGAACUGAGGGGGGCUGCUCCUAGUACGAGAGGACCGGAGUGGACGCAUCACUGGUGUUCGGGUUGUCAUGCCAAUGGCACUGCCCGGUAGCUAAAUGCGGAAGAGAUAAGUGCUGAAAGCAUCUAAGCACGAAACUUGCCCCGAGAUGAGUUCUCCCUGACUCCUUGAGAGUCCUGAAGGAACGUUGAAGACGACGACGUUGAUAGGCCGGGUGUGUAAGCGCAGCGAUGCGUUGAGCUAACCGGUACUAAUGAACCGUGAGGCUUAACCUUACAACGCCGAAGGUGUUU
RNAcentral lists this ribosomal RNA (2826 nucleotides) under Escherichia coli. Its description in RNAcentral is "partial 23S ribosomal RNA". It matches the Rfam family "Bacterial large subunit ribosomal RNA". Lineage: Bacteria; Pseudomonadati; Pseudomonadota; Gammaproteobacteria; Enterobacterales; Enterobacteriaceae. The record is from RNAcentral.